CAAGUCGAACGAGAAAGUGGAGCAAUCCAUGAGUACAGUGGCGUACGGGUGAGUAACACGUGACUAACCCUACCCCUCGAGUGGGGAAUAACCUCGGGAAACCGGGGCUAACACCGCAUAAUAUCUACGGAUCAAAUGCGCAAGCAGCUUGAGGAGGGGGUCGCGGCCGAUUAGCUAGUUGGCGGGGUAAUGGCCCACCAAGGCAAUGAUCGGUAGCCGGCCUGAGAGGGCGCACGGCCACACUGGAACUGAAACACGGUCCAGACUCCUACGGGAGGCAGCAGUGGGGAAUUUUGCGCAAUGGGGGAAACCCUGACGCAGCAACGCCGCGUGGAGGAUGAAGCCCCUUGGGGUGUAAACUCCUUUCGAUCGGGACGAUUAUGACGGUACCGGAUGAAGAAGCACCGGCUAGCUCUGUGCCAGCAGCCGCGGUAAUACAGAGGGUGCAAGCGUUGUUCGGAAUUAUUGGGCGUAAAGGGUGCGUANGCNGUGCGGUAAGUCUCUUGUGAAAUCUCCGGGCUCAACUCGGAGCCUGCAAGGGAAACUGCCGUGCUUGAGUAUGGGAGAAGUGAAGUGGAAUUCCCCGUGGUAGCGGUGAAAUGCGUAAAUUUCGGGAGGAACCCCUGUGGCGAAAGCGGCUCACUGGACCAUUACUGACCCUUAUGCACGAAAGCUAGGGGAGCAAACAGGAUUAGAUACCCUGGUAGUCCUAGCCCUAAACUAUGAUCGCUUGGUGUGACAGGUACCCAACCCUGUCGUGCCGGAGCUAACGCGUUAAGCGAUCCGCCUGGGGAGUAC
Molecule: ribosomal RNA, 798 nt
Filed under: uncultured Pseudomonadota bacterium
Lineage: Bacteria; Pseudomonadati; Pseudomonadota
Description: bacterial SSU rRNA
Rfam family: Bacterial small subunit ribosomal RNA
Source: RNAcentral